Tachysurus fulvidraco (yellow catfish) is the source of this 1432-nucleotide non-coding RNA. The record is from the annotation of a RefSeq genome assembly. Lineage: Eukaryota; Metazoa; Chordata; Actinopteri; Siluriformes; Bagridae.
ACGUGUCCAUAGCGAGAGGUUCCACUUUGCAUUAUCAGCUUCUUAUCAUGCUUCAGUGCCCUGUGAGUGUUUAUAGCCCUGUGACUUUAACACUUCAUGACUGAGAGCUGCUGCUCAGCGACUUCACCCACAGAAACCAUGAGUUUGAUCAGCGUCUUCAUCUGCACACUGCUCCUCUGUGCUCAAGGAUCCCAAAGUCAGGCCAUUGUGACUCAGAGUCCUGCAGUGAAAUCUGUUUCUCCAGGAGACACAAUCACCAUCAGCUGUAAAACUAAUCUUGCUGUUGAUAAUGACUGUGGCAGUAGUUAUGACUGUUUGUCCUGGUUUCAGCAGAAACAUGGAGAAGCUCCUAAAAACCUGAUCUAUAGGGCUAGUACUAGAGCAUCAGGUAUUCCAGAUCGAUUCAGUGGCAGUGGAUCUGGAACUGAUUUCACUCUGACCAUCAGUGGAGUCCAGACUGAAGAUACUGGAGAUUAUUACUGUCUAACUGAUCAUUACAACACAUUCAAAACUUCUUCGUUAACACAGUGUUAGAGCGUCGUACAAAAACCUCAGUGAGUGAGACUGCUGCAGCUGCAGGUGCUGAGGAGGACGAUGUGAUGCAGCACAAUGACACGGUUUAACAAACACAAUACACUUACUCAGUAGUUAAGUCCAGCUUUCUCACCUCUGAGCUUCAUUUACAUAUUUGACAGAGCUGCCAUGAGGCCAAAACCCUGAUCAGAGGUCAGUAGUUGGUCAUUUACCACUUUUACCAGUGUGGUGUUAGAGUGUGGUGAGGAAUAAAUCAGAAGAUGUUAUGUCUCUUACUCUGAUACAGAUCUGCACCUAGAUGUUCAGCUUUUUUACAUUAGACCUGAGUUUGAAAGCUGAUACUAAACUUCAUAGCACAUGACCUGGUAAUCCAGCUGUGAAUUAAAACACCUUCACAACACUCCAUUCCCUGUCGUCCCUUUGAUGAUGUCAGAGCAGUGUAUCAUAUACUGUGACAUGAAUACCUGCAAUUAUCUUGUACAACCACUACCAUGAGUCCCUCUGUUCAAAUCCCACAGCAAAACUCAGUCACAUGUCAUUUCCUCUCUAAUGUCCAGGCCUUGGUGCUUUAGAGCUCCUACCUUGCAGUACUUCAUGGCAGAGUCAUGUGUUGACAGAAGACAUUACUUAAUUAAAGUAAUUAUAAAACAGUACAUACAAGAAGUUUAUUCAUGAACCUUCAUCAGAUCUUCCACAUUUCCAGCAUCUGCACAUUUGUACUGAAGCAGAAUGGUGCAUUGUAUCUAUGAAUCAAAGAGCAUUGUUUGGGUCUUGUUGCUUUAAACUCCUCCACUUGAGGCAGGAGCUCUCCACCAACCUCAAGGGGGCAAUCCACCCUUUUCCGGCUGAGAACCAUGGCCUCAGACUUGGAGGUGCUGAUUCUCAUCCCCGCCGCUUC